AUCGCUUCUUGGCCUUUUGGCUAAGAUCAAGUGUAGUAUCUGUUGUUAUAAGUUUAAUAUCUGAUACGUCCUCUAUCUGAGGGCAUUAUAUUAAAAGGAUUUUUGGAGCUGGGAUAUGGAACAGGAGCUUGCUCCAUCCACUCUGUGCAUCAAUCUAGUAUUGCAGUACUGCUGGGAAUGGGGCACAAAAA
Small nuclear RNA from Pteronotus mesoamericanus, 191 nucleotides. RefSeq annotates it as U2 spliceosomal RNA. The transcript has a single exon. The record is from RefSeq and is a predicted model, not a curated record. Lineage: Eukaryota; Metazoa; Chordata; Mammalia; Chiroptera; Mormoopidae.